Molecule: unclassified non-coding RNA, 240 nt
Filed under: soil metagenome
Description: partial contains 5.8S ribosomal RNA, internal transcribed spacer 2, and large subunit ribosomal RNA
Source: RNAcentral
AAGACUAUAGACCUGCGGAGUACCUGCGGAAGGAUCAUUAUUGAGUGAAGGGCCCGUGGCCCGACCUCCCACCCUUGCUUAAAUACUAUUUGCUUUGGUGUGCCAGUCUUGACUGCCCAGCAUCCGCUUGGAUGCUGGGUUGUGCACACCAGAGGACCUCCAAAUCUUGAUUGAUUGUAUUUUCUGAGUUAUAUUUAAUUAUGAAAACUUUCAACAAUGGAUCUCUAGAUCGGAAGAGCA